CGGACGGGUGAGUAAUGUCUGGGAAACUGCCUGAUGGAGGGGGAUAACUACUGGAAACGGUAGCUAAUACCGCAUAACGUCGCAAGACCAAGAGGGGACCUUCGGGCCUCUUGCCAUCGGAUGUGCCCAGAUGGGAUUAGCUAGUAGGUGGGGUAACGGCUUACCUAGGCGACGAUCCCUAGCUGGUCUGAGAGGAUGAUCAGCCACACUGGGACUGAGACACGGCCCAG
This 230-nucleotide ribosomal RNA is filed under the name uncultured bacterium. RNAcentral's name for it is "partial 16S ribosomal RNA". It matches the Rfam family "Bacterial small subunit ribosomal RNA", at positions 99 to 334 of the family's 1533-position model. The record is from RNAcentral.